This 237-nucleotide ribosomal RNA is filed under the name uncultured bacterium. RNAcentral describes it as "partial 16S ribosomal RNA". It matches the Rfam family "Bacterial small subunit ribosomal RNA", at positions 118 to 349 of the family's 1533-position model. The record is from RNAcentral.
UGAGUAACCUGCCCUUAACUCUGGGAUAAGCCUGGGAAACUGGGUCUAAUACCGGAUAUGACUCCUCAUCGCAUGGUGGGGGGUGGAAAGCUUUAUUGUGGUUUUGGAUGGACUCGCGGCCUAUCAGCUUGUUGGUGAGGUAAUAGCUCACCAAGGCGAUGACGGGUAGCCGGCCUGAGAGGGUGACCGGCCACACUGGGACUGAGACACGGCCCAGACCUCCGUACGGGAGGCCAG